UAAUACGUAGGGUGCAAGCGUUAUCCGGAAUUAUUGGGCGUAAAGAGCUCGUAGGCGGUUUGUCGCGUCUGCUGUGAAAAUCUGAGGCUCAACCUCGGACUUGCAGUGGGUACGGGCAGACUAGAGUGCGGUAGGGGAGAAGGGAAUUCCUGGUGUAGCGGUGGAAUGCGCAGAUAUCAGGAGGAACACCAAUGGCGAAGGCACUUCUCUGGGCCGUAACUGACGCUGAGGAGCGAAAGCGUGGGGAGCGAACAGGAUUAGAUACCCUGGUAGUCCACGCCGUAAACGUUGGGCGCUAGAUGUGGGUCACAUUCCACGUGAUCCGUGUCGCAGCUAACGCAUUAAGCGCCCCGCCAGGGAGUACGGCCGCAAGGCUAAAACUCAAAGGAAUUGACGGGGACCCGCACAAGCGGUGGAUGAUGUGGAUUAAUUCGAUGCAACGCGAAAAACCUUACCUACCCUUGACAUGUCACUAACGAAGUAGAGAUACAUUAGGUGCUC
This 501-nucleotide ribosomal RNA is filed under the name uncultured Glaciibacter sp. RNAcentral describes it as "bacterial SSU rRNA". It matches the Rfam family "Bacterial small subunit ribosomal RNA", at positions 521 to 1020 of the family's 1533-position model. Lineage: Bacteria; Bacillati; Actinomycetota; Actinomycetes; Micrococcales; Microbacteriaceae. The record is from RNAcentral.